GACCGCGUGGCCCAACCAGAAGAGGCAAUCGACUUAAAAUCGAUGAGUUGCGGGUGCAAGUCCUGCCGCGGUCA
This 74-nucleotide transfer RNA is filed under the name Verrucomicrobiales bacterium. Its description in RNAcentral is "tRNA-Leu". It matches the Rfam family "tRNA". Rfam says of the family: Transfer RNA (tRNA) molecules are approximately 80 nucleotides in length. Their secondary structure includes four short double-helical elements and three loops (D, anti-codon, and T loops). Lineage: Bacteria; Pseudomonadati; Verrucomicrobiota; Verrucomicrobiia; Verrucomicrobiales. The record is from RNAcentral.